GCCGCCUUGGCGUAGAUGGUUCGCGCGCCUGUCUGAAAAGCAGGAGGACCUGGUUCAAUUCCAGGAGACGGCA
This 73-nucleotide transfer RNA is filed under the name Hyalangium minutum. It matches the Rfam family "tRNA". Rfam says of the family: Transfer RNA (tRNA) molecules are approximately 80 nucleotides in length. Their secondary structure includes four short double-helical elements and three loops (D, anti-codon, and T loops). The record is from Rfam by way of RNAcentral. Lineage: Bacteria; Pseudomonadati; Myxococcota; Myxococcia; Myxococcales; Archangiaceae.